CGUGAGCAAUCUACCUUGGAGUGGGGAAUAACACAGUGAAAACUGUGCUAAUACCGCAUAAUACAACUGUGUCGCAUGGCAGUGGUUGUCAAAGAUUUAUCGCUCUGAGAUGAGCUCGCGUCUGAUUAGCUAGUAGGCGGGGUAAAGGCCCACCUAGGCGACGAUCAGUAGCCGGACUGAGAGGUUGGCCGGCCACAUUGGGACUGAGACACGGCCCAGACUCCUACGGGAGGCAGCAG
This 239-nucleotide ribosomal RNA is filed under the name uncultured bacterium. RNAcentral's name for it is "partial 16S ribosomal RNA". It matches the Rfam family "Bacterial small subunit ribosomal RNA", at positions 116 to 354 of the family's 1533-position model. The record is from RNAcentral.